AAAUUGAAGAGUUUGAUCAUGGCUCAGAUUGAACGCUGGCGGCAGGCCUAACACAUGCAAGUCGAACGGUAACAGGAAACAGCUUGCUGUUUCGCUGACGAGUGGCGGACGGGUGAGUAAUGUCUGGGAAACUGCCUGAUGGAGGGGGAUAACUACUGGAAACGGUAGCUAAUACCGCAUAACGUCGCAAGACCAAAGAGGGGGACCCUCGGGCCUCUUGCCAUCGGAUGUGCCCAGAUGGGAUUAGCUUGUUGGUGGGGUAACGGCUCACCAAGGCGACGAUCCCUAGCUGGUCUGAGAGGAUGACCAGCCACACUGGAACUGAGACACGGUCCAGACUCCUACGGGAGGCAGCAGUGGGGAAUAUUGCACAAUGGGCGCAAGCCUGAUGCAGCCAUGCCGCGUGUAUGAAGAAGGC
Molecule: ribosomal RNA, 418 nt
Filed under: Escherichia coli
Lineage: Bacteria; Pseudomonadati; Pseudomonadota; Gammaproteobacteria; Enterobacterales; Enterobacteriaceae
Description: bacterial SSU rRNA
Rfam family: Bacterial small subunit ribosomal RNA
Source: RNAcentral